AACGCACAUUGCACCUAGGGGUAUUCCCCUAGGUAUGCCUGUUUGAGCGUCAUUUCAACCCUCAAGCUAUAUUUUGCUUGGUGUUGGUGUUUUCUGUCUACAGAAUCGCCUAAAGUCAUCGGCGGGAUAGGUAUUAAUACCGAGCGUAGUAAUUUUUGCCUCGUUUUGGUUUUGGUAUUUAAUAUUCGCCGUUAUACAAAACAAUUAUAGGUUGACCUCAAAUCAGGUAGGAUUACCCGCUGAACUUAA
This 249-nucleotide unclassified non-coding RNA is filed under the name uncultured fungus. RNAcentral's name for it is "partial contains 5.8S ribosomal RNA, internal transcribed spacer 2, and large subunit ribosomal RNA". The stretch from base 1 to 52 matches the Rfam family "5.8S ribosomal RNA", at positions 103 to 154 of the family's 154-position model. The record is from RNAcentral. Lineage: Eukaryota; Fungi.